GUGUGCGUGCUCCCAGUUGUCCUCCUGAUCACAUCAUCAGCCUUGGUGUCCUCCUUAGGGACAGUUUCUUUGCUUUCAUGCCAUCCUCGGUGGUUCCUGUUCGGGCGGAGAUGUUUGUCUUUCUACCCAGUGUGGAGCUCCUGGAGUGAUGCCACUUUUCUAUGCUCUCAGUCUGGAGGUGACCUUGUAUCCAUCCACACGCCAGAGGAUCUGCAGUUUGUUGCUCAGGUAGCAAACACAAGCGCUCAUGUGUGGCUGGGCGGUUACCAGGAGCAACAGAACGGCUCCUGGUUCUGGACUGAUGACACGCCCUUCAGGAUCAGCAGCUGGAUCAGUGGCACAAAAACAGCAGGAGCAGCUGGGGCUUGUAUGGAAAUGACACCUAAUGAUGGAAAGCUGCAAAGCGCCCCGUGUGACGAGCUCAAGUUCUACAUCUGCUCCAUGAACGCCAGCUCUGCUGUCAUUGAAAGCACCGAGGAGAAACCUGAACCAGGUAUUGUCCCCGGCGUGGAUUUGUUUGAUGUCCUUUGGAGCAAAAGCGAUGCACUAGCAGAGGAGAUCCUCCACUCGUACUCCUUUAUAAGAGAGCUGCAGUCUGGUCAUGUGACAGAGCAGUGCUACUCCAGCUUCAUGCAGCAGGAGGCGCUGUAUUUAACAAGAGUCAGAAGCACUCUGGAGGUCCUGAUUCGUAAUCUAGAGGAGACUGACGACAUUAGGCCACUGCUGCUGGACACACUUAAACUCUACAGCAGCACAAACCAGAGCCUCCUAGCUUCACCUCCCCCACAGGGCCUCUAUUAUCCUCUCCAACUGUACCACUCUGUGGUUUUGGAGGAGCCAGUUUAUUGGUUAGUGGCUCUGUCGGCCCGGUCCUGUCUACGUUACUUCCUGGCUCAAAAACUGCUUCGCAAGCCGCUGAUGUCCAGGUCCAUGACUAACAGCUUCUACCAGAAGUGGAGCAAAGACAGCAUGAAGGAAGUCACCUGGAUAAACAGGUACAAAAAGGUGAUAAAGGAGAAUCAGGAUCAUAUGGAUGUAUUUAAAGCCAUCAAUAUCUUCAGAGAGCACAUGAUGGCCCAGAAGGCUUUCUACAAGGCUCUGGUCUGUUCAUCUGAAGAAGGCAAACAAUGAAGGAGUGAAGCAAGACAGACGUCACUGCUGGGAUGAAGGAAACAACUUUAACUCUCUUCAAUCAAGAAAGCUUGGUUAAAAAAUUGCUGCUUUCUGAGGAGCUUGGAAAGAAAAGCAACUGGACUUCUUUGUUUCACGUUUCAUCUCUGAGGUGAAACGUCUUCAAGAAACUCAAAGAAGUCCAGUCAGUAUUCUUUCCAAGCUCUUUGGAUUGCUGUUAAGGAUUUUUUAUGACAUAUAUACCUGUAUACACUGGAAAUAUACUGACAUAUAUGCUAUGUAACCAUAUAUGCUCGUAUACACUAUAUAUAUAUUGUACUGGAGUGUUUUAUACAUUGGAAUCACUGUGUUAAGCUUCUAAUCUACAUAUUCACAUAUCACAAUACUCAAAUAUUUAGGUCAAAUAUUAUGUACAAUUAUAUUAACGAGGUUUGUGCCACUUGUUUUAUGAGCACGUGUUGAUCAGUACUGCUUGAAAUAUAGUAAUUAGGAUCAAUAAGUAACCUUUGAUCAUGUUAUAUCCAUGGUGACAAGUCCAAACACAGUCAAUCCAACUUGGCACCUGGGACUCUCUCUCUCUGCUCAUCUUCA
Molecule: long non-coding RNA, 1722 nt
Organism: Oreochromis aureus
Lineage: Eukaryota; Metazoa; Chordata; Actinopteri; Cichliformes; Cichlidae
Source: Ensembl